This 3369-nucleotide long non-coding RNA is filed under the name Sus scrofa (pig). Its description in RNAcentral is "lncRNA (ENSSSCG00035042307.1)". The stretch from base 415 to 519 matches the Rfam family "Maternally expressed 3 conserved region 2". The record is from RNAcentral. Lineage: Eukaryota; Metazoa; Chordata; Mammalia; Artiodactyla; Suidae.
GCAGACGGCGGAGAGCUGGGAUGGAGCGCGCCUUGGCCCGCUGGCCUUGGCUGCAGCUCCUCGGGAGAGCCGGGGCGCCCACGCGAGAACCUCCCUACCUGAGGACGCUGGGAACACGGAUUCCUGGAUCCCACCAGCCUACGAAGAAAGCCACGGGUGGCGACCCCUGGGACCAGGACGACCAAGGAGGAGGACGACCAGAACUGACCAGCCAGCCCCCUUGGCUAAAGGCUUAGACCUGUGCCCUAGUGAGGGGGCAUUGGUCGCCAACCCCUGACCUUUGCUAUGCUUCUGCCUUGUUGCUCUGAUACUUGCCUCUAUGUCUCUGCCUGUGUUAACCUGCCAGCGCCCUGGAGGGUUGCCAUCCCCAGGGAGGUGUCAGUCUUUCUCGCUCCACUUGUUGUCGCCCGAAUGACGUCCUGAACGGAAGGGUCCCUUUGGGAACGUCUCGGGAGGCCGACCUGGGCCAAGGGCACAACCAGCAUCUCACUGGCAAUUCCAAGGCCCUGGGUGGGCUUCUGGAAUGAGCAUGAGCCCCGACGUCAUGCCACGGAACUGCCAGGGGCACCCCCCCUCCUUUGAGCUCUCCCUGUCCCUCCUGGGGGGACAGGGACGAGAAGAGCAGUCUCCCAGGGGGUUGUGAGUAUUGAAUGAGAUGAAGUCGCCUCGGGCAGGGCCAGGCAUAGAGGAGGCAGUCGGCAAAUGUUUGUUGAUAAAGUUUGGCCGAUCAGUCCAGCCCCGGCCCGCUCCCGUGUCUCACCGUCUCAUUUAUUCUCCCACAGCACUCCGGAUGGCCCCUGGCCACGGGGCUCUGCCCGCACCAGGUCUCCUUCUGGAGUUGGGGUCUGUGAGCUGGACCCCUCCCUCCGUGACGCCUUCCUCCCUCCUCUGCGCCCCCAGUCGUUGGCUGGGGCCUGUCCAGGGCAAAGGGCAGAUGACUGGGGGACCUCCAGGGAGCGUUGCAGGCUCUGCCAAGGCCUGGCUGCCCACCUGUUCUCUACCUGGCGGCUCCUUCCCUGCCUCCCUCCCCCCAGCCAGGGUGCCUGCCCACUUGGAGCUCUGCUUGCCCGGCCCGCCCCUCUGUGCCCCCGUCACUGGGCUCAGGAUCUUCUGGGUCCUGGCUGUGCCGCCCUCUGCCUAACAGAAAUCCAAGCCGCAGGUCGGCCUGUCCUCGACGCACUGGCAGCGAGCGUCGGCUGAAGAACCGGAUGGAAGAGGCGGGAGAGUCACCACGGACCGGCGUUCCUUCAGGUCGGUCGCCUGGCGUCUUCGGGCUGCGACUCCUUCCCGGAUCGGGCUGAAGCCAUCAUCUGUGUCCUCCGUCGGAAGGGACCUCAGACAUGUGGCUCCUGCACCCUCCAGCUCUGAAAUCGGCAGGCUAGGAUGCAAGUGGCCUUGCUGGGGGGCCCUUCCAAGGGCCGAGGGACCAGCCUCUCGAACGGGCUCGGCGCUCCAGUGACCUUCGCGUCCCCCUCCUCCUUGAAUUGUCUGGAAAACAGAAUGGACAGAUUUUCUGUCUUCAAAGUUUCCGGCUAAACCUCUUCAAAGUUCUUUAUUGUUUGGGACUGAGACACUCAGCAGUGCUAAUGGGUAGUUCCUUUUGUAUUUGCCCUGAAAGGCCAAAAUAUUUUUAUAUCGCUCCAGACAAAGCCGUCUAUUUUAAGAUGAACUCUGUCCGUCGUUGGCCACCGGGGAGACGGUGUCCGCCGUGUGUGUGUCUGUGUGCUCUCGGGUCUUGAAACGGGUUUCUCCUGGGGAUGGCCAUUCACAGGGGUCCAGGGGGAAGCGCCUGCCCCCCCGAAGGGGGCCUGGGGAAGCGGGGACUGGGGCAUCCCGCCCUAAUUGCAGAUCUGCCACCCCCACCCACCCCCACCCCCUCUGUGUAGGAUAUGAGCCCCUGGGGCGGUGGGGGCGGGUUCUGGCUGCACUAACAUUUCCUGUGCCUGCGCCUGCACCUGCCAUGCGUAUGUGUUGGGGACCGUGGGUUGUGUGCACCUGGGUGGUUAAUUCAGUGGGAGGAGCUGGGAGGUCAGAGAUACUGUGAAGGUUCUAUUCUGGUUGGGAGGUCACGGCUGGGAGGUGUGACCUGGUCCAAACAAGCGAAUGGAUGCAUCCGUGGAUGAAAGCAUGCAGGAAUGAGCAAACAGAGAAACAGGGAGAGAAGGAAUCAAGCCCGGGUGAGAGUGUGCCCUGAGUGAGAGCCCACCGAUGCCCAGGACGUCAGUGGUUGUGUCAGGAAGUCGGGACUCGGGAUAGACAUAGGGCCACGUCGGAAGCAAGGUCAGGUCAUCGUGGGCGGAGCGACCCGUGAACUUUGGGUAUCGGGCACCUGAAGUUUGUCAUUAAAGGAUAAAACCUAGAUGGAAGAAAGAAUGAGUUAGAGGUGGACACGCGUAAACCAGGGGUGACAAUGAGAUGAUGAGGCCCAGCGGGGGAGACGGUGCAGGAGAGGGAAGGAGUGACUGAAAGGGGGAGGCACACGGAGAGAGCCCCCAAAAUGAGUAUUUUUAAAAUUAGGGGGCGAGGACAUCUCUAUGGAGGACAGGGUCACGUGAUUAUGAGCCAAGCAUUAGGAUGACUCCAAAUGCAUACUCCCGGCACAAAAAAGGAAAGAACCUGCAGACGGAGAGUUCUGGAAAAAGAUGAGCUGGAAAAGGACCCAGGGAACCAACGAUGAGGGUUAACUUUAGCCUAAAGUUUUCCGACUCUGGGCCCGUGUAGAUAAGUAAAUGCCCAAACGAAAGAAAGCAGAGGGACCACCAAAGGGAUGAGUGAGCAGCGGACAUCCCUGGGCCCAGAUGGGAGCAUUGGCAGGAGGGGCUUCGAGUCAUCUGCUCCCGGGCACUGAGGUUCCACGAAAGGAUUAAAAAGAGAGAGAAUGGAGUUCCCGUCGUGGCGCAGUGGUUAACGAAUCCGACUAGGAACCAUGAGGUUGCAGGUUCGGUCCCUGCCCUUGCUCAGUGGGUUAAGGAUCCGGUGUUGCCGUGAGCUGUGGUGUAGGUUGCAGAUGCGGCUCGGAUCCCGUGUUGCUGUGGCUCUGGCAUAGGGUGGUGGCUAUAGCUCCCAUUAGACCCCUAGCCUGGGAACCUCCAUAUACCGCGGGAGUGGCCCAAAGAAAUGGCAAAAAGACAAAAAAAGAGAGAGAGAGGGAGACAGAGUUCNGAUGUCUAACUCCAAAUCAUGACAUUGGGAGGAAAAAGGAACAGGUGUUAAGUAGAGGAAUGCAUUCGUGGGUGAGUACAUACACAUAUUAAAAAAGGCAGGGCUCUGGGAGUAGGGGUCAGAGGCUGUCAUGAAUCCAGGAUGCGGCUGGUCCAAUUCUAAAGCCAUAAUAGCGUCACAAAAUAAUAGGCAUCAAAAUACACAAGU